GGAUUCGNAUGGGCGAAGCCUGACGCAGCGACNNCGCGUGGAGGAUGAAGGUCUUCGGAUUGUUCACUCCUUUUGUCGGGGAAGAUAAUGACGGUACCCGAUGAAUAAGCCACGGCUAACUCUGUGCCAGCAGCCGCGGUAAGACAGAGGUGGCAAGCGUUGUUCGGAAUUACUGGGCUUAAAGGGCGCGUAGGCGGUGGAGUAAGUCUGAGGUGGAAGAUUAGGGCCUAACCCUAAAAUUGCCUUGGAAACUGCAUCACUUGAGUCAGCGAGGGGAUGGCGGAAUUCCAGGUGUAGCGGUGAAAUGCGUAGAUAUCUGGAGGAAGGCCGGUGGCGAAGGCGGCCAUCUGGCGCUGAACUGACGCUGAGGCGCGAAAGCGUGGGGAGCAAACAGGAUUAGAUACCCUGGUAGUCCACGCCCUAAACGGUGGGUACCUAGGUGUAGGGCUCGCAAGGGUUCUGUGCCGUAGGGAAACCAUUAAAUGUCCCNCCUGGGGAGUACGGCCGCCAANGUUGAAACNCNNAAANNUUUGACGGAA
RNAcentral lists this ribosomal RNA (539 nucleotides) under uncultured bacterium. RNAcentral describes it as "bacterial SSU rRNA". It matches the Rfam family "Bacterial small subunit ribosomal RNA", at positions 358 to 918 of the family's 1533-position model. The record is from RNAcentral.